AAAUCAGUCAAAUCUCUAAGAAAUAACAGUUAAAUUCUGUAAAGUUAUGGGGAUUUUUACAGCGUGUGACAAUUUAUUUACAGUACAAAAUGUGAUGUUUUUCUUUUACGUUGUGUAGGCUACAUAUUGGGACUUUUAUAGAAAACAAAAAGGUUCUAUUUAGUCAAAUGGAAUGCAAAAACUUUGAAGCUCAAUAUCUCAAAACUGCUCAGAAUGCACAUAGGACCUUAUAAUUCCAAGGUGAGGAAAUAAACAGUUUGCUAGAUUAAGGGUUUUAAACAACCUACCCCAUACACACACAUUUAAAUGGUAUCCUUGUUCUGCAGGUCUGAAUUUGUUGUCUGCAUUGCAUUGUGAAUAAUGGUAAAUGCGGCCUUCACAAGGUUAAUUUCUUUUUUCUCUUAUUUUACAGGGAAGGAUUGACUCCUGCUUAACGAUAAAAUAAUGAAUGUCAUUUUAAGGCGGCUGUCGCUCGAGUGGGUGGAGCGUUGGGGGGGUCCCGGGUUUUAGUGCAUUACUUUGCCACUGAAUUUGCCCUGUGCCAAGGAGUAAAUCUGAGUGAAGCCGUGCGAUGUGACAUCAUUUACUCAGAAUUCCCUAAUUUGUCAGCAUUAAUAUUUCAGCUGCACCAUUGCCUGUCACUGAGUGCCAGAGAUGACUGAUCAAUCUAUAAAAUGGCUGCGGCUAAUUUAUUGAAUAUUUAUGUGCAAUGUCAUGUGUGGGGCGCGAGUGGAAUUUAUUUCGCUCGCUCGCCUCUCUGCUUGAGAACUUUUCUAACUAAUAUGACUUUUUUUAAGGAAGGGAAAGAUGCAUAAUGAUAAUGGGAUACAGAGACUGCUGUCGGGAGCGGAGUGACUUUCCUCUCAGCGUGAAGACAGACCUACGUCUUGGAAGGUAGGUGCAGCAUCUCCAAAUGACAUCUGGAGAACAGGCGUUGAAGAUAAGCAAGAAGCAAAGGACAAAUGUUGCCGCAGCUCAUCGUUAUCUUCCUAUUAAUUCAGAGGAUCUGAAAAACAAGCCUCAUUGUGUACAAUCUUGAUCAUUGCAGUUCGGUUGCCUCCUCUGCCAGCCCUGUCGGCCCAUCAAAGGGCGAUUUUCCACGCCGGCAGGCCAGGAGACCGCGGGCUGAAAGAGAGAAAGAAAGGCCUGUGCCGUAGCCAGGGACAGGUGGGAGGCGGGGCCCUGGCCACCAGCGUGCCAAGAUUUCAACUCGGGGACAGUGAGUGAGCUCUGGGAAUGGGCCAGUCAGUCACUGGACUGAAAAUAGUCAUGCCCUAACACCCUGACUGUGCUGGGCAAGGGGGAGGGCCCAGAUACAGCCAGUAUAUGACAGCAUAAAUUGUUUGGCUGAGACUGUUUGCUUGCUUAUAGGGGAUAUUACAGGAAAGCAUUAACCACACUGUUAUCUGUAGAAUAUAGACCAGUAUAAACCAAUGUUAGAAAGUAAAUAAUUCAAUGUUUUCCUUCACCUAUUUUUUUCCAGUAAAUAGAAUAACGUGUUGAAAUAUCAAGCAUACAUCACUGUUUUUAAAUGUCACAUUUUUUGAUCCAAAAUAGCUUUUGUAGCCAUGUAAGGGUGAAUAACUAAACAUGCUUUCACAAACUGUCCUCUCUCUCAAAGGAGCAUUAGGAGGUUCAGGUAAUUGUAGUGAACCGGUUCCUUCACACAGUUAAUGCAAAUCACACUGUUCACAGAAACAUUUCAUUCAGGUCCCUGCAUAAAAAAACCUGCAGUUUGUGCUUUUAGCAACACAUUGAGGUAUGCUGUGCUGUUCAUCAUCAUUUAUGAUACUUUUAUAGGUGUUAGAGUGCUCAGUGAGUUAAUGGUGUAAAUACAGAUUAUAAAAUUCAACUAAUAAACUUCUUGCUGUC
Molecule: long non-coding RNA, 1872 nt
Organism: Triplophysa rosa
Lineage: Eukaryota; Metazoa; Chordata; Actinopteri; Cypriniformes; Nemacheilidae
Exons: 4
Source: RefSeq, a predicted model, not a curated record